UGUCCAGACUCCUACGGGAGGCAGCAGUGGGGAAUAUUGGGCAAUGGGCGCAAGCCUGACCCAGCAACGCCGCGUGAAGGAAGAAGGCUUUCGGGUUGUAAACUUCUUUUCUCAGGGACGAAGCAAGUGACGGUACCUGAGGAAUAAGCCACGGCUAACUACGUGCCAGCAGCCGCGGUAAUACGUAGGUGGCAAGCGUUAUCCGGAUUUAUUGGGUUUAAAGGGUGCGUAGGCGGAAUGCCAAGUCAGCGGUAAAAUCGGGGGGCUCACCCUCGCUCCGCCGUUGAAACUGGCGUUCUUGAGUGGGCGAGAAGUAUGCGGAAUGCGUGGUGUAGCGGUGAAAUGCAUAGAUAUCACGCAGAACUCCGAUUGCGAAGGCAGCAUACCGGCGCCCAACUGACGCUGAAGCACGAAAGCGUGGGUAUCGAACAGGAUUAGAUCCCCCUGUA
Molecule: ribosomal RNA, 449 nt
Filed under: uncultured bacterium
Lineage: Bacteria
Description: bacterial SSU rRNA
Rfam family: Bacterial small subunit ribosomal RNA
Source: RNAcentral